GUUGUAUGGUUAAGUGACUAAGCGUACACGGUGGAUGCCUUGGCAGUCAGAGGCGAUGAAGGACGUAGUAACUUGCGAUAAGCGUAGAUUAGGCAGUAACAGCCACUUGAGUCUACGAUUUCCGAAUGGGGAAACCCACGUGCAUAAGCACGUAUCCUUACCUGAAUACAUAGGGUAAGGAGGCAAACCGGGGGAACUGAAACAUCUAAGUACCCCGAGGAGAAGAAAUCAACAGAGAUUCCGAAAGUAGCGGCGAGCGAAAUUGGACUAGCCCUUAAGCUUUUAAUGAUGCAGGUGAAGCCUCUGGAAAGUGGCGCAAUAAAGGGUGAUAGCCCCGUAACUGUUCCAUCAUUAUAAGUGAAAUCGAGUAAGGCGGGACACGUGUUAUCCUGUCUGAACAUGGGGGGACCAUCCUCCAAGGCUAAAUACUACUGACUGACCGAUAGUGAACCAGUACCGUGAGGGAAAGGCGAAAAGAACCCCUGUGAGGGGAGUGAAAUAGAACCUGAAACCGUGUACGUACAAGCAGUAGGAGCAGGCUUUGUCCUGUGACUGCGUACCUUUUGUAUAAUGGGUCAGCGACUUAUAUUCAGUGGCAAGGUUAACCGAAUAGGGGAGCCGUAGGGAAACCGAGUCUUAACUGGGCGCUUCAGUCUCUGGAUAUAGACCCGAAACCGGGUGAUCUAGCCAUGGGCAGGUUGAAGGUUGAGUAACAUCAACUGGAGGACCGAACCGACUAAUGUUGAAAAAUUAGCGGAUGACUUGUGGCUAGGGG
Molecule: ribosomal RNA, 775 nt
Filed under: Vibrio sp. B4-12
Lineage: Bacteria; Pseudomonadati; Pseudomonadota; Gammaproteobacteria; Vibrionales; Vibrionaceae
Description: partial 23S ribosomal RNA
Rfam family: Bacterial large subunit ribosomal RNA
Source: RNAcentral